Molecule: ribosomal RNA, 440 nt
Filed under: uncultured bacterium
Lineage: Bacteria
Description: bacterial SSU rRNA
Rfam family: Bacterial small subunit ribosomal RNA
Source: RNAcentral
CUACGGGAGGCAGCAGUGGGGAAUCUUAGACAAUGGGCGCAAGCCUGAUCUAGCCAUGCCGCGUGAGUGACGAAGGCCCUAGGGUCGUAAAGCUCUUUCAACGGUGAAGAUAAUGACGGUAGCCGUAGAAGAAACCCCGGCUAACUCCGUGCCAGCAGCCGCGGUAAUACGGGGGGGGCUAGCGUUGUUCGGAAUUACUGGGCGUAAAGCGCACGUAGGCGGACUAUUAAGUCAGGGGUGAAAUCCCGGGGCUCAACCCCGGAACUGCCCUUGAUACUGGCAGUCUUGAGUUCGAGAGAGGUGAGUGGAAUUCCGAGUGUAGAGGUGAAAUUCGUAGAUAUUCGGAGGAACACCAGUGGCGAAGGCGACUCACUGGCUCGAUACUGACGCUGAGGUGCGAAAGCGUGGGGAGCAAACAGGAUUAGAUACCCCUGUAGUCC